This 877-nucleotide ribosomal RNA is filed under the name uncultured Bacillota bacterium. Its description in RNAcentral is "bacterial SSU rRNA". It matches the Rfam family "Bacterial small subunit ribosomal RNA", at positions 58 to 947 of the family's 1533-position model. Lineage: Bacteria; Bacillati; Bacillota. The record is from RNAcentral.
CAAGUCGAACGAUUAAAGCUCUCUUCGGAGAGUGUAUAGAGUGGCGCACGGGUGAGUAACACGUAAGUAAUCUACCUUUGAGUGGGGAAUAACAGUCGGAAACGACUGCUAAUACCGCAUAAUGCAGCGGCAUCGCAAGAUGACAGUUGUUAAAGAUUUAUCGCUUAAAGAGGAGCUUGCGGCAGAUUAGCUAGUUGGUAAGGUAAUGGCUUACCAAGGCUACGAUCUGUAACCGGUCUAAGAGGACGGUCGGUCACACUGACACUGAACAACGGGUCAGACUCCUACGGGAGGCAGCAGUCGGGAAUUUUGGGCAAUGGGCGAAAGCCUGACCCAGCAACGCCGCGUGAAGGAUGAAGUAUUUCGGUAUGUAAACUUCGAAAGAAUGGGAAGAAUAAAUGACGGUACCAUUUAUAAGGUCCGGCUAACUACGUGCCAGCAGCCGCGGUAAUACGUAGGGACCAAGCGUUGUUCGGAUUUACUGGGCGUAAAGGGCGCGUAGGCGGCUUGACAAGUCACUUGUGAAAUCUCCGGGCUUAACUCGGAACGGCCAAGUGAAACUGUCAUGCUAGAGUGCAGAAGGGGCAAUCGGAAUUCUUGGUGUAGCGGUGAAAUGCGUAGAUAUCAAGAGGAACACCUGAGGUGAAGACGGGUUGCUGGGCUGACACUGACGCUGAGGCGCGAAAGCCAGGGGAGCAAACGGGAUUAGAUACCCCGGUAGUCCUGGCCCUAAACGAUGAAUACUUGGUGUCUGGAGUUAUUAGUGCUCCGGGUGCCGUCGCUAACGUUUUUAGUAUUCCGCCUGGGGAGUACGCUCGCAAGAGUGAAACUCAAAGGAAUUGACGGGGACCCGCACAAGCGGUGGAGCAUGUGGUUU